UGAAAGAAAGAGAAGUCUAAGCACUGAAUUCAUGGAGCACUUCAACAUACAGAAGUUGGAGAGACGAAGAGCAGAGGAGGCUAAGAAGGAGCUGUCAGAAAGGCAGGAAAAUUUCUUUAGGUUCAGGUCCUGGAAAUGGAGCUGCCAUUCUGAAGAAUACAAACACCUGUAAGGUUCCUGAUGUAUUUUGACAAGCUGCGGGCUGGAAGGGUCGUCCUGUUUGCACGUCAUCGUGGGUAGAAGGGCCUGUUUCAUGGCCGUCACCAACCCUGAGGUUUCCUUUCCCUUUUUAGUGCAUCGCUGAAAGCCAAAGUGACACUCUGAAACAUCUGCCACUUAAACAAGAGGAGAUUUAUUGCUUUUAAUGGAAAUGAUAACUUGUUCCAGCAGGAGAAAGUAACCCUACAUGUAAACAGAGCAGACAUGAAUAAUUCCACUUUGCAGAUGAAGAAAUAGACUUAGGAAUUGAGACCCAUCCAAGGUGAAAAGCCCUGGACCAGAGCCAGAAUGGGAACCUGGAUUUUUGGUAAUGACUUCAAUACUUUCAUUAUCGUUAUUAGGCUUCUAUUAUGCUUUUGUAACUACUUUUUCUACAAUUUAAAGUAGAUAACCUUGUGUAGGCCUUCAUUACAAAACAUUUAUUGAGUACCUUUGCAAACUGCUCAGCAGCUAGUUGGGAGAAAAGUAAAUAAACAAAUAGUUACAAUCA
Molecule: long non-coding RNA, 709 nt
Organism: Suricata suricatta (meerkat)
Lineage: Eukaryota; Metazoa; Chordata; Mammalia; Carnivora; Herpestidae
Exons: 4
Source: RefSeq, a predicted model, not a curated record